This 331-nucleotide ribosomal RNA is filed under the name uncultured bacterium. RNAcentral describes it as "bacterial SSU rRNA". It matches the Rfam family "Bacterial small subunit ribosomal RNA", at positions 8 to 334 of the family's 1533-position model. The record is from RNAcentral.
AGGGUUUGAUCAUGGCUCAGGACGAACGCUGGCGGCGCGCCUAACACAUGCAAGUCGAACGAGCGAGAGAGAGCUUGCUUUCUCGAGCGAGUGGCGAACGGGUGAGUAACGCGUGAGGAACCUGCCUCAAAGAGGGGGACAAUAGUUGGAAACGACUGCUAAUACCGCAUAAGCCCACGGUGCCGCAUGACACUGAGGGAAAAGGAUUUAUUCGCUUUAGGAUGGACUCGCGUCCAAUUAGCUAGUUGGUGAGGUAACGGCCCACCAAGGCGACGAUUGGUAGCCGGACUGAGAGGUUGAACGGCCACAUUGGGACUGAGACACGGCCCAG